RNAcentral lists this ribosomal RNA (459 nucleotides) under uncultured bacterium. RNAcentral describes it as "partial 16S ribosomal RNA". It matches the Rfam family "Bacterial small subunit ribosomal RNA", at positions 338 to 795 of the family's 1533-position model. The record is from RNAcentral.
CCUACGGGAGGCAGCAGUGAGGAAUAUUGGUCAAUGGUCGGGAGACUGAACCAGCCAAGCCGCGUGAGGGAUGAAGGUACAGAGUAUCGUAAACCUCUUUUGUCAGGGAACAAAGGCGGGGACGUGUCCCCGGAUGAGUGUACCUGAAGAAAAAGCAUCGGCUAACUCCGUGCCAGCAGCCGCGGUAAUCCGGAGGAUGCGAGCGUUAUCCGGAUUUAUUGGGUUUAAAGGGUGCGCAGGCGGUCUGUUAAGUCAGCGGUCAAAGCCCGGGGCUCAACCCCGGCCCGCCGUUGAAACUGGCAGUCGCGAGUUGGAGAGAAGUAUGCGGAAUGCGCGGUGUAGCGGUGAAAUGCAUAGAUAUCGCGCAGAACUCCGAUUGCGAAGGCAGCAUGCCGGCUCCACACUGACGCUGAGGCACGAAAGCGUGGGUAUCGAACAGGAUUAGAUACCCUUGUAGUC